GGGUAAGUCUUGCACGACCAGCUCCCACUUAACUCCCCCAGGGCCGGAAGGCAGCAAGGGCUAGUGGUUGUAGCGGUGCGAUGUAAGUAGCUUGCCCCUU
Molecule: signal recognition particle RNA, 100 nt
Filed under: Flavobacteriales bacterium
Lineage: Bacteria; Pseudomonadati; Bacteroidota; Flavobacteriia; Flavobacteriales
Description: signal recognition particle sRNA small type
Rfam family: Bacteroidales small SRP
About the family: The non-coding component of the signal recognition particle in Bacteroides
Source: RNAcentral